This 258-nucleotide ribosomal RNA is filed under the name uncultured bacterium. RNAcentral's name for it is "partial 16S ribosomal RNA". It matches the Rfam family "Bacterial small subunit ribosomal RNA", at positions 793 to 1055 of the family's 1533-position model. The record is from RNAcentral.
GUCCACGCCUAACGAUGCAUAUUUGGUGUAGGUCAUUCAGUUGAUCUGUGCCGGAGCUAACGCGUUAAUAUGCCGCCUGGGAGUACAGUCGCAAGGCUGAAACUCAAAGGAAUUGACGGGGCCCGCACAAGCGGUGGAGCAUGUGGUUCAAUUCGACGCAACGCGAAGAACCUUACCUGGGCUCGAACGGCUGGUCAACGAUCGUGGAAACACGGUUACUCCGCAAGGGGUCCAGUCGAGGUGCUGCAUGGCUGUCGU